This 497-nucleotide ribosomal RNA is filed under the name uncultured bacterium. RNAcentral describes it as "partial 16S ribosomal RNA". It matches the Rfam family "Bacterial small subunit ribosomal RNA", at positions 28 to 507 of the family's 1533-position model. The record is from RNAcentral.
GGUGAACGCUGGCGGCGUGCCUAAUACAUGCAAGUCGAGCGAACAGACGAGGAGCUUGCUCCUCUGACGUUAGCGGCGGACGGGUGAGUAACACGUGGAUAACCUACCUAUAAGACUGGGAUAACUUCGGGAAACCGGAGCUAAUACCGGAUAAUAUAUUGAACCGCAUGGUUCAAUAGUGAAAGACGGUUUUGCUGUCACUUAUAGAUGGAUCCGCGCCGCAUUAGCUAGUUGGUAAGGUAACGGCUUACCAAGGCAACGAUGCGUAGCCGACCUGAGAAGGUGAUCGGCCACACUGGAACUGAGACACGGUCCAGACUCCUACGGGAGGCAGCAGUAGGGAAUCUUCCGCAAUGGGCGAAAGCCUGACGGAGCAACGCCGCGUGAGUGAUGAAGGUCUUCGGAUCGUAAAACUCUGUUAUUAGGGAAGAACAAAUGUGUAAGUAACUAUGCACGUCUUGACGGUACCUAAUCAGAAAGCCACGGCUAACUACGUG